CGCAGAGGGUGAAACGGGGCUUUCUCUUCCUGUUCAGGAUCUACCAGCAAUUUGGGACUGCUGCUGUAGGGGAGGGAGAGGACAGGCGGGAAUUGUCUGUUGAAUGCUUCCAGGACCAGAACUAGCACAGAAAAAAAUCUGAAGGUCCCUAAGCCAAACUGCUAAUCACAGAUGCAGCAGAGAGCAUUUGGGGUUCUAGAAGGACUUUUGGGAGGUCUUCAAGCAACACAAUGCUCAACAGCAUACAUAAAACACUGUCCUGAUCUGCCUGGUGGAAAUCCAUGGCCCUGGAAGAUGAGGGUUCCAGAAGUUACCGGAACAGAGCAGGUGUGAGGCCACCUACGUAUGCAGUUGUCAUUUUGGAACCCCCAAGCCCCUUUAAUCCAAUUCUACCUCCCAGUUUUCUUCUGAAGUUAGCUGGUGGCCCAAAGAGCAGGAAAUGGAGUGGAGAGACUCCAGGCAAGGACAGCUGUGCCCUGGGCUCCUGAACACAACUGCCAGGGCACUCAACCCUCCUUCCCUCUCAGAAGAGCCCUCCACUGGGGUCCUCCCAC
Homo sapiens (human) is the source of this 554-nucleotide long non-coding RNA. RefSeq lists it as uncharacterized. The record is from RefSeq and is a predicted model, not a curated record. The transcript is spliced from 3 exons. NCBI's taxonomy places the organism in Eukaryota, Metazoa, Chordata, Mammalia, Primates, Hominidae.